RNAcentral lists this ribosomal RNA (245 nucleotides) under uncultured archaeon. RNAcentral describes it as "partial 16S ribosomal RNA". It matches the Rfam family "Archaeal small subunit ribosomal RNA", at positions 474 to 718 of the family's 1478-position model. The record is from RNAcentral.
CCCCAGCGCCACAAGUGGUAGCCAGUUUUAUUGGGCCUAAAGCGUUCGUAGCCGGUUCGGUCUAUCUCAUGUGAAAUCGUCUGGCUUAACUAGACGACGUGCAGGAGACACUGCCGAACUUGGGACCGGAAGGAGUCAGAGGUAUGCUCGGGGGAGCGGUAAAAUGCUAUAAUCCCGAGUGGACCACCUGUGGCGAAGGCGUCUGACUAGGACGGAUCCGACGGUGAGGAACGAAAGCCAGGGGA